Molecule: ribosomal RNA, 253 nt
Filed under: uncultured bacterium
Lineage: Bacteria
Description: partial 16S ribosomal RNA
Rfam family: Bacterial small subunit ribosomal RNA
Source: RNAcentral
UACGUAGGGUGCGAGCGUUAAUCGGAAUUACUGGGCGUAAAGUGUGCGCAGGCGGCCGAGCAAGUCGAGUGUGAAAGCCCCGAGCUUAACUUGGGAACUGCGCUCGAAACUACUUGGCUAGAGUGUGGCAGAGGGAGGUGGAAUUCCACGUGUAGCGGUGAAAUGCGUAGAGAUGUGGAGGAACACCGAUGGCGAAGGCAGCCUCCUGGGCCAACACUGACGCUGAGACGCGAAAGCGUGGGGAUCAAACAGG